Molecule: ribosomal RNA, 484 nt
Filed under: uncultured bacterium
Lineage: Bacteria
Description: partial 16S ribosomal RNA
Rfam family: Bacterial small subunit ribosomal RNA
Source: RNAcentral
GAUGAACGCUGGCGGCGUGCUUAACACAUGCAAGUCGAACGAGAACGGAUUAUAGCUUGCUAUAAUUGUCAGCUAAGUGGCGCACGGGUGAGUAAUGUAUAGGUAAUAUGCCUCUUACUAAGGGAUAACAAAUGGAAACGUUUGCUAAUACCUUAUACUCCUUAUUAACAUAAGUUAAUAAGGGAAAGAUUUAUUGGUAAGAGAUUAGCCUGUAUUGUAUCAGUUAGUUGGUGGGGCAAUGGCUUACCAAGACUAUGACACAUAACUGGUUUGAGAGGAUGAUCAGUCACACUGGAAAUGAGACACGGUCCAGACUCCUACGGGAGGCAGCAGUGGGGAAUAUUGCACAAUGGACGAAAGUCUGAUGCAGCAACGCCGCGUGGAGGAUGACACAUUUCGGUGCGUAAACUCCUUUUAUAUGAGAAGAUAAUGACGGUAUUAUAUGAAUAAGCACCGGCUAACUCCGUGCCAGCAGCCGCCGUAA